GAUGAACGCUGGCGGCGUGCCUAAUACAUGCAAGUCGAGCGAACGGACGAGAAGCUUGCUUCUCUGAUGUUAGCGGCGGACGGGUGAGUAACACGUGGAUAACCUACCUCUAAGACUGGGAUAACUUCGGGAAACCGGAGCUAAUACCGGAUAAUAUUUUGAACCGCAUGGUUCAAAAGUGAAAGACGGUCUUGCUGUCACUUAUAGAUGGAUCCGCGCUGCAUUAGCUAGUUGGUAAGGUAACGGCUUACCGAGGCAACGAUGCAUAGCCGACCUGAGAGGGUGAUCGGCCACACUGGAACUGAGCCACGGUCCAGACUCCUACGGGAGGCAGCAGUAGGGAAUCUUCCGCAAUGGGCGAAAGCCUGACGGAGCAACGCCGCGUGAGUGAUGAAGGUCUUCGGAUCGUAAAACUCUGUUAUUAGGGAAGAACAUAUGUGUAAGUAACUGUGCACAUCUUGACGGUACCUAAUCAGAAAGCCACGGCUAACUACGUG
Molecule: ribosomal RNA, 497 nt
Filed under: uncultured bacterium
Lineage: Bacteria
Description: partial 16S ribosomal RNA
Rfam family: Bacterial small subunit ribosomal RNA
Source: RNAcentral